GACGAACGCUGGCGGCGUGCCUAAUACAUGCAAGUAGAACGCACAGUUUAUAUCGUAGCUUGCUACACCAUAAACUCUGAGUUGCGAAUGGGUGAGUAACGCGUAGGUAACCUGCCUGGUAGCGGGGGAUAACUCUUGUACACGUUCCCUAAUACCACAUAAUAUUAAUUAUUUCAUGAUAAUUGAUUGAAUGAUGCAAUUGCAUCACUACCAGAUGGACCUGCGUUGUAUUAGCUAGUAGGUGAGGUAACGGCUCACCUAGGCGACGAUACAUAGCCGACCUGAGAGGGUGAUCGGCCACACUGGGACUGAGACACGGCCCAGACUCCUACGGGAGGCAGCAGUAGGGAAUCUUCGGCAAUGGACGAAAGUCUGACCGAGCAACGCCGCGUGAGUGAAGAAGGUUUUCGGAUCGUAAAGCUCUGUUGUAAGAGAAGAACGGGUGUGAGAGUGGAAAGUUCACACUGUGACGGUAUCUUACCAGAAAGGGACGGCUAACUACGUG
Molecule: ribosomal RNA, 505 nt
Filed under: uncultured bacterium
Lineage: Bacteria
Description: partial 16S ribosomal RNA
Rfam family: Bacterial small subunit ribosomal RNA
Source: RNAcentral